GGCGUAAAGCGUGUGUAGGCCGCGCGGAAAGUCGGAUGUGAAAGCCCAAGGCUUAACCUUGGAACUGCAUUCGAUACUCCCGUGCUAGAGUAAUGGAGAGGUAAGUGGAAUUCUCGGUGUAGCAGUGAAAUGCGUAGAUAUCGAGAGGAACAUCAAUGGCGAAGGCAACUUACUGGACAUUUACUGACGCUCAGACACGAAGGCUAGGGGAGCGAAAGGGAUUAGAUACCCCUGUAGUCCUAGCAGUAAACGGUGCUCGCUUGGUGUGGGGAGGUUCGACCCUCUCUGUGCCGGAGCUAACGCGUUAAGCGAGCCGCCUGGGAAGUACGGUCGCAAGACUAAAACUCAAAGAAAUUGACGGGGACCCGCACAAGCGGUGGAGUAUGUGGCUUAAUUCGAUGCAACGCGAAGAACCUUACCUAGGCUUGACAUGCUUGUCGUAUUCUCCCGAAAAGGAGAAGUCGCUUCGGGCGGACAAUGCACAGGUGCUGCAUGGCCGUCGUCAGCUCGUGUCGUGAGAUGUUUGGUUAAGUCCAGCAACGAGCGCAACCCCUGUGAACUGUUGCCAGCGGAUAAUGCCGGGGACUCUGUUCAGACUGCCCAGAUCAACUGGGAGGAAGGUGGGGACGACGUCAGGUCAGUAUGGCCCUUACGCCUAGGGCUGCACACGUACUACAAUGCCCAGCACAAUGAGAACCAAUACCGCGAGGUGGAGGAAAUCUGUAAAACUGGGCCCAGUUCGGAUUGGAGGCUGCAACUCGCCUCCAUGAAGUUGGAAUCGCUAGUAAUGCCGUAUCAGCUACGACGGCGUGAAUACGUUCCCGGGUCUUGUACACACCGCCCGUCACAUCAUGGAAGUCGGUCGCACCCGAAGUAUAUGCGCUAACUUUCGAGAAGCAGUAUCCUAAGGUGAGGCUGGUAACUGGGAUGAAGUCGUAACAAGGUAGCCGUAGGGGAACCUGCGGCUGGAUCACCUCCUUU
This 981-nucleotide ribosomal RNA is filed under the name bacterium. RNAcentral describes it as "bacterial SSU rRNA". It matches the Rfam family "Bacterial small subunit ribosomal RNA", at positions 557 to 1533 of the family's 1533-position model. The record is from RNAcentral.